ACGAACAAAACAUUCAAAGUAAGAUGAAAUUUAAGACUAAUACAUAUUGGUGGUGGCGCCGCUUACAACUCCAACAGUCGUAAGGGAGCGAGCCUCGUAUGCAUUAAAUUCCAACAUACACAUUUUAUAAAUUUGCUAAGCGGGCUGUC
Regulatory RNA element from Bacteroides sp. CAG:462, 149 nucleotides. It matches the Rfam family "Bacteroidete tryptophan peptide leader RNA". The record is from Rfam. NCBI's taxonomy places the organism in Bacteria, Pseudomonadati, Bacteroidota, Bacteroidia, Bacteroidales, Bacteroidaceae.